RNAcentral lists this long non-coding RNA (235 nucleotides) under Elaeis guineensis (African oil palm). Its description in RNAcentral is "long non-coding RNA (EGUI_LNC039806)". Lineage: Eukaryota; Viridiplantae; Streptophyta; Magnoliopsida; Arecales; Arecaceae. The record is from RNAcentral.
AUGAGUUGGUGAUCUCCACUGCUGGUAGGCAUGGUAUGAAACUCUCGCUGAUGCCGAGCAGCUGCACAGAUCGUCUGACCUCUAUAGAUCAUCCACUCGAAGUCCUGAUCGGAUCUUCCUUCGCAAGAGUGCUAGCUCGCAUCGAAGGCUCUAGAUGGCUGAUCUAAGCUCCUUUUUUUGGAUCUCCCGAGCUUCUCUAGAUCAAAAGACAAAGCUUUACAAGAAGGUGGUGGUA